RNAcentral lists this ribosomal RNA (508 nucleotides) under uncultured bacterium. RNAcentral describes it as "partial 16S ribosomal RNA". It matches the Rfam family "Bacterial small subunit ribosomal RNA", at positions 29 to 523 of the family's 1533-position model. The record is from RNAcentral.
AACGAACGCUGGCGGCGUGCCUUACACAUGCAAGUCGAACGGCAGCGGGGGAGAAGCUUGCUUUUCCUGCCGGCGAGUGGCGGACGGGUGAGUAAUACAUCGGAACGUGCCCUGUAGUGGGGGAUAACUAGUCGAAAGAUUAGCUAAUACCGCAUACGACCUGAGGGUGAAAGUGGGGGACCGCAAGGCCUCAUGCUAUAGGAGCGGCCGAUGUCUGAUUAGCUAGUUGGUGGGGUAAAGGCCUACCAAGCCGACGAUCAGUAGCUGGUCUGAGAGGACGAUCGGCCCCACUGGGACUGAGCCACGGCCAAAACUCCUACGGGAGGCAGCAGUGGGGAAUUUUGGACAAUGGGCGAAAGCCUGAUCCAGCAAUGCCGCGUGUGUGAAGAAGGCCUUCGGGUUGUAAAGCACUUUUGUCCGGAAAGAAAUGGCUCUGGUUAAUACCUGGGGUCGAUGACGGUACCGGAAGAAUAAGGACCGGCUAACUACGUGCCAGCAGCCGCCGUAA